UAAUGAGGCUUUCACAGGAAAUCUUGAUGUGACUUUCAUUUUUGCUAAGUUCCACUUUUUCACAGUAGAAAAAAGGGAACUUCGAAGUUCAGUCAACAACUUCAUCAUCUCUCGCUUAUAGACCAACUAGAGCACUCUGUUCUUCUCACCAAGGCCUGGUCAUGAUGUCUAAUACAACUUGUCUCUCUGCAAACUCUACCACAGACUGCCUAGACUCAGCUUCUUUAAGUUCUUCUGUGGGAUAUGCUGUGGGUCUUCCUCUGUUCUUCAUUGUUCUGGGAGUAGUGAUUGCACUGAUCUAUACCAAGCGCAGUAAAUUGAGGAAUAUGGGGCAGUUAGAUCAACUCAAGAGCACAGAGGUCAACACACGUCAGCUUGAGGGUUCCCAAUACUCGGCCAUGGUCAGACCACCACCCGCUGAUCCCAGCCCUAUCUACGAGAACUUCACUGACUCCAACAAAACAACCAUCAACAUGAACAGGUCACCCGUUGAACCUGAGGACGUAUAUCUGCAGUGUGAUUUACUCGAUGACGCAAUUUACAGCAACGACAUGUCCUGUAGCCUGGACAUACUGCCUCCUGACCCUGAGGAGGAAGAUAUUUAUAUAAUGCCAGAUGUUUUAUAGUUACAGCCAUAAAGAUGACCCUAUUCAAAUCCAAACGGAGUCAUAUUUUACUAGGACAGGAAGAGGAAUCAAAGGAGCCAAUAUGUUCUGGUGGCUUUUAUGUUUUAUCCACCUCUGAAGGAACUUGGCCAUAUUGACAAAAACAUUUGUCUUAAUUAGAAUCUUUUGCUUUGUUUUACAGACUAAAAGGUAUGUUAUGUUAUUGUACAUAUUUUAGUUAGUGCCUGCUAGGUUCAGUACAGGGCAACAACUGUUUUGGGCAAAUUUAAAUAUACGUAGCAGUUUAGGCCAAAAUGUAAAACAUUUUUACAGUGAACUUUUUCACUCUGUAGUUAGGGAGAAGUCGACAUUUUCCCAAUUGUUCCCCGGAGGGGCGUGUUGCCUAAAAGAUUGGCUGUGCUGUGUACACUGCCACUUCAGGAGGUGAGUCCAAGGCUUCUUCCCCCCCCCAUUAUGGGGUAUUGUGUGUAGGCCAAUGACAAAAAGUCUUCAUCCAUUUUAAAUUCAGGCUGUAACACAACAUAAUGUGGAAAAAGUCAAGGGGUGUGAAGACUUUCUGAAGGCCCUGUAUAGCAGUCUUGUUGACCGGUCUCGAGUACGGUCUCGAGACCACAUAUUGAGUGUCUCGGUGUUGUCUCGGUGUCUGAUACAUUUGGACUCGGUCUUGACUCGGUCUCGGACAGUGAGGACUCAUAAUUUCUUGCCUAGACCAACAGAGUAAAAAACUCAUAAUUAUCAGCUUCCAUUCAGUCCAGUGUUGCAAUUUUGUGGUUUUCUUGCCAAAUUUGGAAACUUUGAAAACAAUGUUGCGGGGGAAAAUGUAUUGGUCAUGGGUGGCAGAUUUUUGGCAGUACUUCUAAACUGCACCAUUUUACAUUACAUUUAUUUUUAUUUUUUUACAUUUUAGUCAUUUCGCAGACAGUCUUAUCCAGAGCGACUUACAGUAGUGAAUGCAUACAUUUCAUACAUUUCCCUCCCAUACUGGUCCCCCGUGGGAAUCGAACUCACAGCCCUGGCGUUGCAAACACCAUGCUCUACCAACUGAGCCACACGUGACCACCAUGGCAUUUCUCUUAAAAAUAUAUACAUAUAUUUCACUGUGACCUGCUGCCUCUGACUUUCAGGCAGUGAGCAGGCUGUAACUGAGUGAGUGAGUCAGUGAGUGAGCAUAUGAAUGGGGGAGAGGGAGAGGGCCGGAGGGGUGCGUGUGUGCGUUGAGAGUACUGGUUGAGAGAGUGCUGCAGCAGAGGAAGCUGAGUCACGGAGACAGAGCAGCACCAGUGCACUUUGUGACCACUUUUGACCAGUUGUAGGUAGGCUAUUUAGAUUGGUCAUUAUGGAGGCACACUUUUUACAUAAAACAUAUAUUAAUGCGCCAGAACAGCAACAAAGCAUUGGAAAAGGACUUUAGGCCACUAGCGCUGUUUAGAUAAGUUUGAUCAGAGGUGGUUGAAAGUAAACUGCAUUCUAAUGUCGACUUUUCUCAUGGUUAACCAUAUCAAGCGAAGGGUUUUACUCAUGCUCAGUUCCAGGGUCUGGAGCGCUGUGCGAGUUGAAACUUUAAAUGGAAGUUAUGGAACACCCUCGCAUGCUUCUGUUAUGGGAAAAAGUCCACAGUGAAAAUGACAUUAAAUGUGGAGAAUGAUAGGCUACAUCUGCAUCUGUUGGCCAUCCAGUGGGCUAUUCAGUUCUAUUCCAUUUUAGGCUACUGUGGCCUUCCAUUUGAAACAAUAAAUAUGUUGAAAUGAUUAUAUUACUGGUGUCAUUGCAAACCUAUUUGUGUCACUUAUGUAGCCUACCUGGAGCAAAUGUAUCAUUCUCCACAUUUAAUGUCAGUUUCAUUGUGGACUUUUCCCUGAAAUGAUAUGUUGGCAUGUUGGCCUAUCAUGGGCUAUAGACUACCUGCAUCUAUCUCAGUAAACCACGGCAAAGUUUAAUUGCAAUUAUAAACCCAGAUUUUAGUCAUUAGCCUAUGCCUAUUGAAAUAACAAGUCAAUCUCGCAAAUAGACCAUUUAUAAUGGUUUGUAGUCUUAACAUCUGGCACACAAUGAAGGCACAAUUGACAGAAAAUAGCCUAACUUUUUUUUUUUAAAGUUCAUCCAAGUGUUUCUUGCGCAGAGAUUUGAAGAUCCUCUGUCCAACUUUCAUCACUCAAACUCUCCUUUCGGAUUUAUCUAUAGUUAUGCACAUGCUACAAUUAUAAACUGGGUGGUUUGAGCCCUGAAUGUUGAUUGGUUGAAAGCCAUGGUUUAUCAGAUGUGUACCACAGGAAUGACAAAUAACUUGUUUUGACUGCUAUGAUUAAGCAAUAAAGCCCAAGGAGGUAUGGCCAAUAUACCAUGGCUAAGGGCUGUUCUUUGUGGUAUAUGGUCAAUAUACAACGACUAAGGCAUAUGUCCUGAGAACAGUCAUUAGCCGUGGUAAAUUGGCCAUGUACCACACCAGAUUGGGCUUUCUUGCUUAAUCAUAGCAGUCAAAACAAGUUAAAUCGACAUCCAUUGAGGGAAAAUUAUCUGGAGAGUUUAAUAAGGGCGAUUUAUCUUUUCUCUUGCGAUAUAUUCUUAAACUCGCAAUAAUUAUUAUUUUAAUGGAAAACCAAAUGUUGCUUCUUAGUCUACGUCGCAAAAAAUUAACUCAAUAUUCCUUCUUAAUUCACUCGAUAACGUUAUGGAAAAAGUGUUUAUUGGAUAAAUGUGGCAAGUCCUCUUUUGCUGCAAAAAAUUAUUUGGGCUAGUUUUCAGGCCUUGUACCUGGCAACCCUGAUUCAGUCAGUGCAUAAAACCACUUCCAUAGGCCAAAUAUAUACACUCCUUUCUCGGAACAUUAAUAUCUUAACAGCCUUAUCUAUUAUAGACAUGUUUGCACACUGGUGAACCUAUAGGCCUUCAGUUUGUGACAGGUUUGUGAUUCUGAAAGGACAGCAACCGUAAUACCAAUGAACUUUUGUAAAAACACAAAGGUCCAAUAGUGUAGUGGAGGGUAUACUCAGGUAUAAACCCAACACAAUCUCACACUCAAUUCAUGCAAAUAUGUACAAAUAGAUUUUCAGCAGAUUUUGUGUGUUAUUGUGUGGCUUAAUUUGUGUGAAAAGACACAAAUUUUUUGUGCGACUUAAUUAAUAGGAAAAUACACACAUUUUUGUGCGACUUCAUUCAUAGGAAAAUACAUUUUUGGGGGACAAACUUAGGAACAAUCUUUUGAAAGUUAUUAGAGCAAUGCAUGAUGGGGUUGUUGUUCUACACUGCCUUUUUUUGUGUCCCACAUUUCUUAAUUUUAAAAACAAAUGUCUUAACAACCCAAUCUUGUUAAUCAACCAGGUUGUCACCUAAAUAAUUAUAAUAUAAUAUUAGCCUUGUUGUUUUUUUAUUUGUAUUAAUGCCAAUGCUGUUUUCUAUGCUUGUUUUCACAUAACACUUUGGAAUACUUGUGCUAUGUCGGAUUUUAUGAGGGUCGUCAAAUUGGAGUAAAAAGCUUUAUUUGUCUGUUUUUAUUUUGUGGUAUCGAUGAAGGUAUAUGAUUGUUUUUUCAGUGGGCAUUGCAUACAGUAUACUCACUUCUUAAUCCCUACUGAUGCGUAUCGAAGUAGUGUAGUGGAGGUAUACGACUUAUCAAUUAUGUAGUACAAUAGGGAAACCAUGCACAAAGUAGCCACACAUAUAACCUAGUUUCAGCUGAAUAUCAUCUGCAGGCAGCAAGAGUGUGCAGCUCUCAGCUGGUUUUGGCAUGGAGCAGCUCACAGAAGAAUGACAUCGGUAGUGGUAGGGUAGGAAAAACAUUUCAACUUAUGAUAUCAGCCAGUAAAUGCUAACUAAGGCAACAACGGGUAUGCAAACCAUGUAUUGAAAAAGUUUAGUCCACAGUGUUGGUUAGUUGGCUAUUUGUGAUGCUCAAUUGUCAUCAUGUACUGUUUGCAUCAGGGGUGUAGACAUGGAUGGGCCUGGUUGGACAGAGGCCCACCCACUGGGGAGCCGGGCCCUGACAGGCCCACCCAAUCAGAUUGAUGUGGUUUAAGCAUUGUUGUGGACUUAGACCAUCAAAUUUUUGUAUUUGUUUUAUUUUUAAAAAGUGAUAUUUUGAGAGUGAAAAUCUGAAAAAUCUAUAGGAAAACUCAAAGGACGAGGAGGCUACAAUUCCCCAUCUUGUUGAUGUGCAUAACCGAGAGAGUCUACCUUUUCAUGGUUGUUACAUCAAUAAGACUGUAAAGUUCCCAUAUGUAAGAGGACUUCCGUGGUGUUUACAUAUUAUCAAAAAUCCAUUCAGGUGUAUUUUGUGGCUUUUGGCGAAUGCGUUCUAAUGAUAUAAAGUCACACUGUUGCAACUGCCUGUUAACACACAGUCCAGUUCAUAGUAAAUGAUGACAGGUCCUACUGCCUGUAAACACACAGUCCAGUUCAUAGUAAAUGAUGACAGGUCCUACUGCCUGUAAACACACAGUCCAGUUCAAAGUGAAUGAUGACAGGCCCGUGUGACAAAUGGCUUGUUUGUAUAAAGGCCUACUGUAGCUCUGAUCGGCUAUACCGCACCGGUCUGUGAAGACUCCGUUCCUGGACAAGACAGAUGUUUUAAUUCUGUUCUAUUUACUGCAGUAUAACGGCCGCUUUCCCACUCUAUAUUGCUAGAGAAUUUUCACAAAUGCCUUAGUAUACGUAAUUCCCAAACAUUCUAAGAAUUUUUGAAAAAGUGGAAAUGACCAGAUCUAAGCAGUGGUGUAAAGUACUUAAGUAAAAAUACUUUCAUGUACUACUUAAGUAGUUUUUGGGGUAUCUGUACUUUACUUUGCUAUUUAUAUUUUUGACAACUUUUACUUCACUACAUUUCUAAAGAAAAUUAUGUACUUUUUACUCCAUACAGUUCCCUGACACCUAAAAGUACUUGUUACAUUUUAAAUGCUUAGCAGGACAGGAAAAUGGUCCAAUUCACGCACUUAUCAAGAGAACAUCCCUGGUCUUCCCUACUACCUGAUCUGGCGGAUUCACUAAACACAAAUGCUUUGUUUGUAAAUGAUGUCUGAGUGUUGGAGUGUGCCACUGGCUAUCUGUCAAUAAAAAACACAAGAGAA
Molecule: long non-coding RNA, 5686 nt
Organism: Salmo salar (Atlantic salmon)
Lineage: Eukaryota; Metazoa; Chordata; Actinopteri; Salmoniformes; Salmonidae
Source: RefSeq, a predicted model, not a curated record